This 253-nucleotide ribosomal RNA is filed under the name uncultured bacterium. RNAcentral describes it as "partial 16S ribosomal RNA". It matches the Rfam family "Bacterial small subunit ribosomal RNA", at positions 524 to 776 of the family's 1533-position model. The record is from RNAcentral.
UACGUAGGGUGCGAGCGUUGUCCGGAAUUAUUGGGCGUAAAGAGCUUGUAGGCGGUUUGUCGCGUCUGCCGUGAAAAUCCGAGGCUCAACCUCGGACUUGCGGUGGGUACGGGCAGACUAGAGUGUGGUAGGGGAGACUGGAAUUCCUGGUGUAGCGGUGAAAUGCGCAGAUAUCAGGAGGAACACCGAUGGCGAAGGCAGGUCUCUGGGCCACUACUGACGCUGAGAAGCGAAAGCAUGGGGAGCGAACGGG